Molecule: ribosomal RNA, 459 nt
Filed under: uncultured bacterium
Lineage: Bacteria
Description: partial 16S ribosomal RNA
Rfam family: Bacterial small subunit ribosomal RNA
Source: RNAcentral
CCUACGGGUGGCUGCAGUGAGGAAUAUUGGUCAAUGGGCGGAAGCCUGAACCAGCCAAGUAGCGUGCGGGAUGAAGGCCCUACGGGUCGUAAACCGCUUUUGCACGGGGAUAACACCCUCCACUUGUGGAGGUCUGCAGGUACCGUUCGAAUAAGGGCCGGCUAAUUCCGUGCCAGCAGCCGCGGUAAUACGGAAGGCCCGAGCGUUAUCCGGAUUCAUUGGGCUUAACGGGAGCGUAGGCGGGCGUUCAGGUCAGCGGUAAAAUCGCGAGGCGCAACCGCGCCCCGCAGUUGAAACUGGACGCGUUGAGUACAGAACAGGUAGGCGGAAUUCGUGGUGUAGCGGUGAAAUGCAUAGAGAUCACGAGGAACCCCGAUUGCGAAGGCAGCCUGCUGGGGUGCGACUGACGCUGAGGCUCGAAGGUGCGGGUAUCAAACAGGAUUAGAUACCCCAGUAGUC